This 332-nucleotide unclassified non-coding RNA is filed under the name soil metagenome. RNAcentral's name for it is "partial contains 5.8S ribosomal RNA, internal transcribed spacer 2, and large subunit ribosomal RNA". The stretch from base 1 to 120 matches the Rfam family "5.8S ribosomal RNA", at positions 35 to 154 of the family's 154-position model. The record is from RNAcentral.
GAUGAAGAACGUAGCGAAAUGCGAUAAGUAAUGUGAAUUGCAGAAUUCAGUGAAUCAUCGAAUCUUUGAACGCACAUUGCGCCCGCCAGUAUUCUGGCGGGCAUGCCUGUCCGAGCGUCAUUUCAACCAUCAAGCCCCGGGCUUGUGUUGGGGACCUGCGUCCGACGCAGGCCCUGAAAACCAGUGGCGGGCUCGCUGUCCACACCGAGCGUAGUAACUAACCUCGCUAUGGAGUGGCGCGGGCGCCUGCCGUAAAACCCCCAAUUUCACAAGGUUGACCUCGGAUCAGGUAGGAAUACCCGCUGAGCUUAAGCAUAUCAAUAAGCGGAGGA